CAAAUAUUUUCUUUUUGAAAACUUAGAUUUGGCAUGUGUGGUCUUGAAUUUCAGCACCAUGAUUCUUCUUGUGACCCCAGUGCUUCCUGUACCAUACUGCAAUCAUUCUCGCCCAGUGUUCCGCUGUGAUGGUGUUUGUCCUUUCAGCAAAUUCACAGGAAAUGAGACGUCCUGAGCCGGGGAGGCAGCUCCUUGAUCCAGGC
Molecule: long non-coding RNA, 203 nt
Filed under: Lepisosteus oculatus (spotted gar)
Lineage: Eukaryota; Metazoa; Chordata; Actinopteri; Semionotiformes; Lepisosteidae
Description: lncRNA (ENSLOCG00000021600.1)
Source: RNAcentral